AGAUUGAACGCUGGCGGCAUGCCUUACACAUGCAAGUCGAACGGCAGCACGGGAGCAAUCCUGGUGGCGAGUGGCGAACGGGUGAGUAAUAUAUCGGAACGUGCCCAGUCGUGGGGAUAACGCAGCGAAAGCUGUGACUAAUACCGCAUACGA
This 153-nucleotide ribosomal RNA is filed under the name uncultured soil bacterium. RNAcentral describes it as "partial 16S ribosomal RNA". It matches the Rfam family "Bacterial small subunit ribosomal RNA", at positions 26 to 178 of the family's 1533-position model. The record is from RNAcentral.